GAUGCAGAACGUAGCGAAAUGCGAUAAGUAAUGUGAAUUGCAGAAUUCAGUGAAUCAUCGAAUCUUUGAACGCACAUUGCGCCCGCCAGUAUUCUGGCGGGCAUGCCUGUUCGAGCGUCAUUUCAACCAUCAAGCCCCCGGGCUUGUGUUGGGGACCUGCGGCUGCCGCAGGCCCUGAAAAGCAGUGGCGGGCUCGCUGUCACACCGAGCGUAGUAGAUUUUAUCUCGCUCUGGGCGUGCUGCGGGUUCCGGCCGUUAAACCACCCUUUUAACCCAAGGUUGACCUCGGAUCAGGUAGGAAGACCCGCUGAACUUAAGCAUAUCAAUAAGCGGAGGA
This 337-nucleotide unclassified non-coding RNA is filed under the name soil metagenome. Its description in RNAcentral is "partial contains 5.8S ribosomal RNA, internal transcribed spacer 2, and large subunit ribosomal RNA". The stretch from base 1 to 120 matches the Rfam family "5.8S ribosomal RNA", at positions 35 to 154 of the family's 154-position model. The record is from RNAcentral.